Molecule: ribosomal RNA, 465 nt
Filed under: uncultured bacterium
Lineage: Bacteria
Description: partial 16S ribosomal RNA
Rfam family: Bacterial small subunit ribosomal RNA
Source: RNAcentral
GAUGAACGCUGGCGGCGUGCUUAACACAUGCAAGUCGAACGGAAAGGCUCCUGCUUGCCGGGGUGCUCGAGUGGCGAACGGGUGAGUAACACGUGGGUGAUCUGCCCUGCACUUCGGGAUAAGCCUGGGAAACUGGGUCUAAUACCGGAUAGGACCACAUUUUGGAUGGUGUGGUGGAAAGUUUUUCGGUGUGGGAUGAGCUCGCGGCCUAUCAGCUUGUUGGUGGGGUAAUGGCCUACCAAGGCGUCGACGGGUAGCCGGCCUGAGAGGGUGUACGGCCACAUUGGGACUGAGAUACGGCCCAGACUCCUACGGGAGGCAGCAGUGGGGAAUAUUGCACAAUGGGCGCAAGCCUGAUGCAGCGACGCCGCGUGGGGGAUGACGGCCUUCGGGUUGUAAACUCCUUUCGCUAGGGACGUAGCGCAAGUGACGGUACCUGGAGAAGAAGCACCGGCUAACUACGUG